This 591-nucleotide ribosomal RNA is filed under the name uncultured Burkholderia sp. RNAcentral's name for it is "bacterial SSU rRNA". It matches the Rfam family "Bacterial small subunit ribosomal RNA", at positions 418 to 1003 of the family's 1533-position model. Lineage: Bacteria; Pseudomonadati; Pseudomonadota; Betaproteobacteria; Burkholderiales; Burkholderiaceae. The record is from RNAcentral.
UCGGGUUGUAAAGCACUUUUGUCCGGAAAGAAAACUUCUGCCCUAAUACGGCGGGAGGAUGACGGUACCGGAAGAAUAAGCACCGGCUAACUACGUGCCAGCAGCCGCGGUAAUACGUAGGGUGCGAGCGUUAAUCGGAAUUACUGGGCGUAAAGCGUGCGCAGGCGGUUCGUUAAGACAGAUGUGAAAUCCCCGGGCUUAACCUGGAACUGCAUUUGUGACUGGCGAGCUAGAGUAUGGCAGAGGGGGGUAGAAUUUCCACGUGUAGCAGUGAAAUGCGUAGAGAUGUGGAGGAAUACCGAUGGCGAAGGCAGCCCCUGGGCCAAUACUGACGCUCAUGCACGAAAGCGUGGGGAGCAAACAGGAUUAGAUACCCUGGUAGUCCACGCCCUAAACGAUGUCAACUAGUUGUUGGGUCUUCAUUGACUUAGUAACGUAGCUAACGCGUGAAGUUGACCGCCUGGGGAGUACGGUCGCAAGAUUAAAACUCAAAGGAAUUGACAGGGACCCGCACAAGCGGUGGAUGAUGUGGAUUAAUUCGAUGCAACGCGAAAAACCUUACCUACCCUUGACAUGGUCGGAACCCUGCUG